RNAcentral lists this long non-coding RNA (731 nucleotides) under Cinara cedri. Lineage: Eukaryota; Metazoa; Arthropoda; Insecta; Hemiptera; Aphididae. The record is from RNAcentral.
AACUUUCCGUUCGGUGUUUUGUAUAUUCGUGACCAUAUCUAAAACCGUGGUUAGAACCAACGGUCCAACCACAGCUUUAUUAACUUUUGAGGUUACAUCUUGUCUGAGUUUGUACUCUGAGUUGUCUGAUUGUUUUUAUUCUUUAAUUGUGUAAUUCAAUUUUGAUUCUAUUAAAUAUAUUAAUAUAUUAAUCUAUUUCCUACAUUCCUAGUAGCAUAUAAUAUUAUACUCGAUUUAUUAUAAUUUGUAAUUUAUAUUUUUUAAUCAAAGGUAUUACAAUAUUGAUCAUUAAUUAUCUUAUUGUACUAAAUUUGAAUGAAAUUAUAUUCAUUAUAUAAUUUAUAUUAUGGUGUUCGUUACAGCUGUUAUAGGUUUUCAAAAAAAUGGAUAAACCAGUAGUAUUAUCAAGAGUUUUGAAGGUACUGGGACGAACGGGUUCGCAAGGUCAAUGUACACAGGUUAAAGUGGAAUUUAUUGGUGAACAAAAUCGUCAAAUUAUCAGAAAUGUUAAGGGACCAGUACGUGAAGGCGAUAUCCUAACACUGCUUGAAUCUGAAAGAGAAGCUAGAAGACUUCGAUAAUCUAAAUAUACCUACUCUCAGUGAGUCCAGUUUAGUUAAAUAAUUGAGUGAUUUUAAAAAUUUAAAAAAAAAAAAUCAAUAUUGUUUUGACAGCAAUUAGUUCAGAUACAAGCUGACGUAUUAUUAAUCUUUAAAUUCUUUAAAAAUGUG